Molecule: long non-coding RNA, 109 nt
Organism: Ipomoea nil (Japanese morning glory)
Lineage: Eukaryota; Viridiplantae; Streptophyta; Magnoliopsida; Solanales; Convolvulaceae
Exons: 3
Source: RefSeq, a predicted model, not a curated record
AAUGAUUCCUUCUUCUUCUUCCCCUUAUUAAGCUCUACGCAAAAAUGCAGAUCUUCAUCUCCAAAUCAACUUCAACCCUAAAUAAAUAAAUAUUUGAGUAUGAAGAUUU